Long non-coding RNA from Zingiber officinale, 770 nucleotides. RefSeq lists it as uncharacterized. The record is from RefSeq and is a predicted model, not a curated record. The transcript has 4 exons. NCBI's taxonomy places the organism in Eukaryota, Viridiplantae, Streptophyta, Magnoliopsida, Zingiberales, Zingiberaceae.
UGCCCUAUAAGCUCCCGACGCCGUUUCUUCUUCGCCUCUUCAUCUCCUCCAACCGACGGCGCCGCCGAGACGCUUCAUCUCCUCUCUCGCGGACAAAAGGGGCAGACAAGGAGAAGUUGGUCACUUCUUCUAUCGAUCUCCUCUGCCUCUGCCGAUCUUCCUUCUCUCCCAACUUCUCUACAUCGCCCGACGCCGUGCCACCAUUGCCGUCGUCGGUGAAGCCCCAUUGACGUCGGUACCCGAGGGCAAGCCACUGUCGAGUUGUCGUUCUUCCUGUUCCCUAGCCGCAGUAGUCGUGCCCUAUUCUCUGCUCCGCCGCCUCGUCGAGCACUGGUAGAAAGACUCCUCCUCGCCAGCAUGGAUCCACUGAUCACCCCAAAUCCGUCUGAUUUCCCUAGCUCUGGUUGAGUUCUCGUUGUCCUAAUCUGAGGCGCGACACCCAUGCCCUAGCUGAGAUCUUGGAGCAUGUGUAGGGUUCGGUGGAUCCAGUUUAAGGCUUUUGGCGAGCAUAUUUGAGAGAUAGUUGGACGGUGGUUUUCUCCAGUAGUGGUUCAGUAGCUGAGAUAUCAGAUUUUUCUCAGUCCAUUUCUCUUCAUGAACAGUCCAGCCAAGUUGUCUCCUUUCUGUGCGCCGGGCAACAGUUCAAAUCCCUUUCACCGAGUCCCUCUGUUCCGUCUUCGGCCAUCGCAGUCACCAUAUCCAGGUAGAUUGGAAUUCGGAUUCGGGACGAGCACUUCGACAUAGAGGUUGAUUAGCUCAAUCUACAUUGG